UACGUAGGGUGCAAGCGUUAAUCGGAAUUACUGGGCGUAAAGCGUGCGCAGGCGGUUUUGUAAGUCUGUCGUGAAAGCCCCGGGCUCAACCUGGGAAUUGCGAUGGAGACUGCAAGGCUUGAAUCUGGCAGAGGGGGGUAGAAUUCCACGUGUAGCAGUGAAAUGCGUAGAUAUCUGGAGGAAUACCGGUGGCGAAGGCGGCAUCCUGGACCAUAACUGACGCUGAGGCGCGAAAGCUAGGGGAGCAAACGGGG
RNAcentral lists this ribosomal RNA (254 nucleotides) under uncultured bacterium. Its description in RNAcentral is "partial 16S ribosomal RNA". It matches the Rfam family "Bacterial small subunit ribosomal RNA", at positions 524 to 777 of the family's 1533-position model. The record is from RNAcentral.